RNAcentral lists this ribosomal RNA (423 nucleotides) under uncultured bacterium. Its description in RNAcentral is "bacterial SSU rRNA". It matches the Rfam family "Bacterial small subunit ribosomal RNA", at positions 207 to 622 of the family's 1533-position model. The record is from RNAcentral.
AAGACCUUGCGCUUUUGGAGCGGCCGAUGCCUGAUUAGCUUGUUGGUAAGGUAAAAGCUUACCAAGGCUUCGAUCAGUAGCUGGUCUGAGAGGACGACCAGCCACACUGGGACUGAGACACGGCCCAGACUCCUACGGGAGGCAGCAGUGGGGAAUUUUGGACAAUGGGGGCAACCCUGAUCCAGCCAUGCCGCGUGAGUGAAGAAGGCCUUCGGGUUGUAAAGCCCUUUCAGCCGGAACGAAACGGUUACGGUUAACACCCGUGACUACUGACGGUACCGGAAGAAGAAGCACCGGCUAACUACGUGCCAGCAGCCGCGGUAAUACGUAGGGUGCGAGCGUUAAUCGGAAUUACUGGGCGUAAAGCGUGCGCAGGUGGUUUUGUAAGUCAGAUGUGAAAGCCCCGGGCUCAACCUGGGAACU